RNAcentral lists this ribosomal RNA (253 nucleotides) under uncultured bacterium. Its description in RNAcentral is "partial 16S ribosomal RNA". It matches the Rfam family "Bacterial small subunit ribosomal RNA", at positions 524 to 776 of the family's 1533-position model. The record is from RNAcentral.
UACGUAGGGUGCAAGCGUUGUCCGGAAUUAUUGGGCGUAAAGAGCUCGUAGGCGGUCUGUCGCGUCGGAUGUGAAAAUCCAGGGCUCAACCCUGGACCUGCAUUCGAUACGGGCAGACUAGAGUUCGGCAGGGGAGACUGGAAUUCCUGGUGUAGCGGUGAAAUGCGCAGAUAUCAGGAGGAACACCGGUGGCGAAGGCGGUUCUCUGGGAAUGACCUGACGCUGAGGAGCGAAAGUGUGGGGAGCGAACAGG